RNAcentral lists this ribosomal RNA (305 nucleotides) under uncultured bacterium. RNAcentral's name for it is "bacterial SSU rRNA". It matches the Rfam family "Bacterial small subunit ribosomal RNA", at positions 337 to 634 of the family's 1533-position model. The record is from RNAcentral.
GCCUACGGGGGGCAGCAGUAGGGAAUCUUCCACAAUGGGCGAAAGCCUGAUGGAGCAACGCCGCGUGGGUGAAGAAGGUCUUCGGAUCGUAAAACCCUGUUGUUAGAGAAGAAAGUGCGUGAGAGUAACUGUUCACGUUUCGACGGUAUCUAACCAGAAAGCCACGGCUAACUACGUGCCAGCAGCCGCGGUAAUACGUAGGUGGCAAACGUUAUCCGGAUUUAUUGGGCGUAAAGGGAACGCAGGCGGUCUUUUAAGUCUGAUGUGAAAGCAUUCGGCUUAACCGGAGUAGUUCAUUGGAAACU